RNAcentral lists this transfer RNA (61 nucleotides) under Falcidens halanychi. RNAcentral describes it as "tRNA-Gly". Lineage: Eukaryota; Metazoa; Mollusca; Caudofoveata; Chaetodermatida; Chaetodermatidae. The record is from RNAcentral.
GCUCUCUUAGUAUAGAAGUACACUUAUUUUCCAAAUAAGAAGGAAGGAAUCUUAGAGGACC